RNAcentral lists this ribosomal RNA (329 nucleotides) under uncultured Glomeromycotina. RNAcentral describes it as "eukaryotic LSU rRNA". The record is from RNAcentral. Lineage: Eukaryota; Fungi; Glomeromycota.
CAGUCGUACCGACGGAAAAUCAUCUCUUCGAGUGCUUACUUGUGGGUUACUUGUGAACUCCGGCCUUCAUGCCUUCAUAUUCCUGUACUUUGGGUGUACUUGCUCGUGUGGUAGGUUAACAUUUAUUUCGAUCAUCAUAAAAUGGUUGGAGGAAAGUACCUUCCAUCUCCUAUUGAAGUGGUAUAGCCUUUAGCAUAUGUGAUGAUUGGGAUUGAGGAUUGCAACUGAUACCCUUAAGGGCUACGCGUCUGAUCUCUGAAUGUUACUCUGGUACCGGAAGCUUGCUUACGGUUCCAAAGUUGACGUUCAACAGGUUAAAACGGGUUAAA